GAUGAACGCUAGCGGCAGGCUUAAUACAUGCAAGUCGAGGGGCAACAGGGGGUAGCAAUACCUGCUGGCGACCGGCAAACGGGUGCGGAACACGUACAGAACCUUCCUUUAAGUUGGAGAUAGCCCGGAGAAAUCCGGAUUAAUACCUAAUAGUAUUAUGGUGUGGCAUCACAUUAUAAUUAAAGCCUUGGCGCUUAGAGAUGGCUGUGCGUAUGAUUAGGUAGUUGGGCGGGUAACGGCCCACCAAGCCUUCGAUCAUUAACUGGUGUGAGAGCACGACCAGUCACACGGGCACUGAGACACGGGCCCGACUCCUACGGGAGGCAGCAGUAAGGAUAUUGGUCAAUGGACGCAAGUCUGAACCAGCCAUGCCGCGUGAAGGAUGAAGGUCCUCUGGAUUGUAAACUUUCUUUUAUGUGGGAAGAACCCGGGAAUUCUUUUCCGGUUGACGGUACAUAGGAUAAGCACCGGCUAACUCCGUGCCAGC
This 487-nucleotide ribosomal RNA is filed under the name uncultured bacterium. RNAcentral's name for it is "bacterial SSU rRNA". It matches the Rfam family "Bacterial small subunit ribosomal RNA", at positions 28 to 512 of the family's 1533-position model. The record is from RNAcentral.